Molecule: ribosomal RNA, 436 nt
Filed under: uncultured Alphaproteobacteria bacterium
Lineage: Bacteria; Pseudomonadati; Pseudomonadota; Alphaproteobacteria
Description: bacterial SSU rRNA
Rfam family: Bacterial small subunit ribosomal RNA
Source: RNAcentral
GCUUAACACAUGCAAGUCGAACGCGUGUAGCAAUACACGAGUGGCAGACGGGUGAGUAACGCGUGGGAACCUUCCCUUUGGUACGGAAUAACCCGGGGAAACUCGGGCUAAUACCGUAUAUUCCGGUGACGGGAAAGAUUUAUCGCCAGAGGAUGGGCCCGCGUAGGAUUAGCUAGUUGGUGGGGUAACGGCCUACCAAGGCGACGAUCCUUAGCUGGUCUGAGAGGACGACCAGCCACACUGGGACUGAGACACGGCCCAGACUCCUACGGGAGGCAGCAGUGGGGAAUCUUGGACAAUGGGGGAAACCCUGAUCCAGCCAUGCCGCGUGGGUGAUGAAGGCCUUAGGGUUGUAAAGCCCUUUUGGCGGGGACGAUGAUGACGGUACCCGCAGAAGAAGCCCCGGCUAACUCCGUGCCAGCAGCCGCGGUAAUAC